Transfer RNA from Granulibacter bethesdensis CGDNIH1, 73 nucleotides. It matches the Rfam family "tRNA". Rfam says of the family: Transfer RNA (tRNA) molecules are approximately 80 nucleotides in length. The record is from Rfam. Lineage: Bacteria; Pseudomonadati; Pseudomonadota; Alphaproteobacteria; Acetobacterales; Acetobacteraceae.
GGGGGUGUAGCUCAGCUGGGAGAGCACCUGCUUUGCAAGCAGGGGGUCGUCGGUUCGAACCCGAUCACCUCCA